This 94-nucleotide non-coding RNA is filed under the name Ferrimonas balearica. RNAcentral's name for it is "c-di-GMP sequence". It matches the Rfam family "c-di-GMP-I riboswitch aptamer". From Rfam's summary of the family: GEMM was predicted in a large-scale screen for bacterial structured RNA regulatory elements. Genes associated with GEMM are involved in a diverse array of functions, including chemotaxis regulation, signal transduction, secretion and chitin. Lineage: Bacteria; Pseudomonadati; Pseudomonadota; Gammaproteobacteria; Alteromonadales; Ferrimonadaceae. The record is from RNAcentral.
ACGUGAUAAAGGCAAACCCGGCGAAAGCCGGUGACGCAAAGCCACCGGCCUAAGGUGCCCCUGUAGGGGGUGCGAUGGCAGCGGGGCUACCGCA